Long non-coding RNA from Eriocheir sinensis (Chinese mitten crab), 926 nucleotides. RefSeq lists it as uncharacterized. The transcript is spliced from 4 exons. The record is from RefSeq and is a predicted model, not a curated record. NCBI's taxonomy places the organism in Eukaryota, Metazoa, Arthropoda, Malacostraca, Decapoda, Varunidae.
CCAAGCCGGGAGUCUAGGACAGGGAGGCGCGAACGAGGCGAAGGCGACUUGCAGCUGUAAGGAAGAAGUGGCCGAGUAAGGACGAGGAGUAAAUGGGAACUGCAAAGGAACGUGAAGAAGGGAAGGAAGAGGAAACUACCAGGGAUAAAUUGUGCUGCAAGGCGGGCAAUGAUGAAGCUGUUUACGAGGACACAUCCGGAGUGACCGUGGGGGACCCCGUGACGAAGACCGGCAAGCCCCUCUCGGUGGAGCUAGGCCCGGGCAUCAUGAGGAACAUUUACGACGGGAUCCACCACCCACCCCAGGAGAUUGGCGACCUCGCGCAGCUAUCUAUAUCCACAAGGGCAUCUCCACCCCGCCCUCUCCCACUCCAAGGCCUGGGACUUCCAGCCGCAGCGAGCCGUCAAGGUCGGCAGUCACAUCACAAGCGGCGAUCUCUUCUAUCGGCAUGGUUACAGGGAAAUCCAUCAUCAACCACAGGAUCAUCUUGCCCCCAAAGGCCCGAGCCACAGUCACCCAUCUGGCAGCUCCCGGCAACUACUCCCUGGAUGAGACGGUGCUGGAGGUGGAGUUUGGGGAGAGGAGCACCUGUACAGCAUGGUGCAGGUGGGGGGGGUGGCUAAGGACCGUAUCCUCAGGGAUCUGGGGUCUCACAGACACACACAUUGGUAAGGGUCUUGUAGAGGCUGUGUUAAAGUUUCCAUGGGUAGUUUUCUGAGCCUAGCGACAGUUUGACAAGGCUUGUGUGUGGCGUGAAUGUGAAAAACACUCAUGAGGACCCAACUAAGCUCCUUUGUGGCCCUGGAAACACUUGUAGUGACAGCCAAGUGUCUCAGAAAUGAUCCCAUUGAUUUCCCAUUUUGUGUUUUUGCAUAUCUCUUCUCUGGCUGUCCAAGUUUCCCAUGAAGAGAUAAUCAAGGUCUACA